Gossypium raimondii (Peruvian cotton) is the source of this 3707-nucleotide long non-coding RNA. RefSeq lists it as uncharacterized. The transcript has 2 exons. The record is from RefSeq and is a predicted model, not a curated record. Lineage: Eukaryota; Viridiplantae; Streptophyta; Magnoliopsida; Malvales; Malvaceae.
GUUAGUAAAAGGGUUGGGGGGCCUGACUCUGUGGCGCCGCCUCCUUCUCCAUCCAUCUCAUUCUUCUAUAUAUCUUUUAAAACCCUAUAUCGAUUUUCAUUCAUGGGUUAUUUCUUGUUUGUUUCUGGUGCAAAGAAUGUCUUCACAAAAAUUUAGCAGAGUUUUUAGUUGUUGUUUUUCUCUUUUUUUUUUUUUUGGUUGGAUAUGCUUUUUGUUUUUGCCUAUGAUGGUAUUAAAUAUACUUUGAGAGAUGUUUUCUCUUUGAAAUAAUUCUAAUCUGAGGCAAAGAAGUAGCCCAAAUUCUUUUAUGUGCUUGUUUCUUUCCAUAUGUAACUAGCAUAAAUUUUGUAGACUGAUAUCUGUAUGCCCUUGUUUGGGUGAUUGGUAACUCACUCUUCCUGUGAAUCUAUGUUUCUAUUCUUCUCGAAGUACUCUGCAGUUUUACAUGAAUUUUGCCUAUGAAAUCUCAGCUUUAAGCUGUUUUUUUUUUUUUGGGUUUAAGAUCUUACAAAGUUAUCUAGUGCUUCGACUAAAUUUGAAGCUGAGUUUUGUUUACUAUAGGGAGGUAAGGUUUUCUUCUUUUAGCUUCGUUUUUUAACCAAACGUCGAACUCUGUUGAUAGUAACUUUAAACUGGUUUACGCUUGUGAAAAAAAUGGUCUCUGUACCUUAUAGAUUUAUGUUUUCUUGAUUGCCACUGAUUGUUUUAGAGUCUAGAGUUGCAAUGAUUUUGUCUCAUUAAUUUUUUUUCCAAAUUUCUUGAUUUUCCUUUAAAAUCUGGUUGUUCUCUAUAAUAAAUUGUGCAAGUGACGAUAAAGAUAGACAGGGACAUCAGUACCCAUUGGAGGAUGAUGAGUUGUCUAAAAUGGGAAUCUCUCUGAUGCACAAAACUAAUUGGUUUUAUUUCAUGCAUGAGUUUCUUUUUCAUGAUUUGAUAAAAUUUGUACAAAAUUUUAGAUGAAAGGUUUCUAAGGAGUAUUUUGGUGUAUGCACAAAACUAAUCCUUGUUUACUAUAGGGAGCUUGAAAUGCCUCCUGGUUCAGCGGAGUUGUCUUUUGUGGUUGAAAUGCCUAAUGAUUAUUAUAAAGAACGGAGAUUUGAAUGGUGCUUCUUGUUGCAGCUUGAUGAUUUAUUGAGCUCCAAAGGGCAUUGCAUGUGAUAAACAAUUUUAUAUCAAAUAUGAAGGCAUAAAUACAAGCUGUUUUUCUUUAUGUAUCAUGUUACAAUUUAUACUAUUAAAGAACUCUGAUCGAAUUAGUUGCAUUGGGUUAAGCAAUUAAUUAGUCAAUCUAUAUUAAGUAGGAAGUAAUACCCUAACUUGAUUUUCCUUUGGCUCCCUCCUUCUUGUCCAUCCAUCCCAUUCUUCUAUAACUCUAGUAAAAUCUUAACUCUGUUAAACAAUUGUAUUCAUAUUUCACAAAAUUUAACAGAGUUUGUAGUUGAUAAUUUUUCCGUUUAUGUUUUUGUUUAUUCUAUUUUUUGAUAAAUUGUUUAUGCUAAUUUUGUUUUGCCUAUGAUGGUAUUAAAUAUACUUUGAGAGAUGUUUUCUCUUUGAAAUAAAUCUAAUCUGAGGCAAAAAAGGAAAUCCCAAUUCUUGUGUGCUUGAUUUUACAUUUGGGUUUUGUUAUUGAUUCUGCUUAUUUGUAUGGAUGUUCAUAUGUAACUACCAAAAUCAGUAAGCCCUUCGUGCCACUGAUUUGGAGUCUGGAAUUGUAGUUUUUUAAUUUCAUUAAUUGUUUCUAAAUGUCUUGAUUUUCCAUUCAAACCUUGUUGGUUUCUCUUAGAAAUUUAUGCAAGUGACUAUAAAAAUAGACAGGGACAUCAGCACCCAUUGGAGGAUGAUGAGUUGUCUAAAAUGGGAAUCUCUCUGAUGCACAAAACUAAUUGGUUUUAUUUCAUGCAUGAGUUCUUUUUCAUGAUUUCAUAAAUUUUAUACAAAAUAUUAGAUGAACGGUUUUGAAGGUGUGUUUUUUUGUAUGUUUAAUUCAUCAAUCAUUGUUUUAAGCUUGAAAGACUCAGGUUUGUCAAUGAUGCAUCUUAAUGCACGUAUUAUCAGAUCAAAUAAUGAUGAUAUCUGAUAAUUGUCACUACCUCUGAGACAGACCGUAUGAUAUGUCUAUCGAAUUUUGCUUUAAUUUGGAUUGUUUCAUAAGCAAAUUUUAUACUUAAUGAUUGUCACUUCUUUAUGUUGAUGGUGUUAAAUGUACUUUUGGUUGAAUUCAGUAGCAUUCUUUGAGGCUUUUCUACAAUUUGUUUCUCACUUACACUUGUGUGGAGUAGGGUUAUGUACCUAUCUUAAUUCUGGUAAUCAUAUCUUUGUACUUGUAAGCAAAUGCUCAUUGAUGUUGUGCUGGCAUGUUCAAUUGGUGUAGCUGCUGUUUUCUUCUUUGCCGUCCUAUAAUAUCUACAUAUUUUGCUGAAGUUCAUCUUAGAUUAUAAGAAUCAAUUGCCAGUGAGGAUAUCUAUGACAAAUACCAUCUUUCGGGACUGAAUUGCUCUUCGAGCUUUGAUGUCCGUCUGCAAAUCUGAGGCAUUUGUGCUGCAUAUAAUGCUAGCAUGUAGGGUAAUAGAAAACCAUAAAUAGUUUAGCAUUUUGUUGGGAAACGUAGUAUGUUUAAUAUAUUCAUUGUAAUUAUUGUUUCAUCAAAUUUGAAGGUUCUUACAAAUAUUGUCUUCGGUUGCACCAUCUCAAUAACUUGGUUGAUGCUAAUAUCUUAGCAUGCAUUUUUGUGCUGUGCAGCUUCUGCUUGUUAAGUCGUAGGCUUACAAAAGUUGUAUGACAUUUGAUUUUCAGCUGUAUCAGUUUUGGACGUCAUGAUGUUUAUUAGCCUUGGAUAUCAUACUACCUUAUAGCUGGUUUGUUCUAUUGGAAAAAGGAUCUCUCUAUGUUAAAAUCUAUGUUUUUCUUGGGUGACACCAACUGAUUUAUAGUCUAGAAAUUCAAUGAUUUAGUUUUCCACUGAAAUCUUGUUAAAAAUAUGUGCAAGUGACGAUAAAAAUAGACAGGGACAUCAGUACCCAUUGGAGGAUGAUGAGUUGUCUAAAAUGGGAAUCUCUCUGAUGCACAUAAAGAAUUCAUUCGGAAGCAUGUAUUUCUUUUCAUGCUUUGAUAAUUGUUAUACAAAAUUUUAGAUGGAAUCAGAUUAUUGUCUCUUUAAGUAGUUUUCUGUCACAUGCUAAUGCUAAUAAUUUUUGUUUAAAUCUUGAUUAGCUGGUUUGUCAAUGAUGCAUCCUAAUGCACGUACCAGCACAGACCAUUUGAUGCGUAUUUAAUUUGCUUUAAUUGUGUCAUACAUAAUCAAAUUUAGCACCUCAUGGUUCUUUGAUUUUGGUGAUGGUGUUAAAUUUUUACUUGAGUUAAUUCUGUAACUGUCUUUGAAGCUCUUUGACCAUGUAUGCCAAACUUUUUGCCACUAAAAUUGCUGACUUUGCAGUUUCGAUUUUUGGUCAUGUUAGCCAGUAUUUGUUCCAGGGGCAGCGUGUAGAUGUACUUCUUCCCUAAAGUUGUAAUUUAUUUAAGAAUAGGGCACGUUUGGUUCGCUUUAUUAGAAUAGAGGCGUAAUGGAAUGAAGGUGUAAUAGCAAAUCAAUUGUUUGGUUGAAUGUAAUGGAAUAGAGGCGUAAUAGUAUUAUUGUGUUUAGUUGAAUGGAAUAGAUGUGUAAUAGUAUAAUGAAAAAAAUUAAAAUGAUUAGAAUAUUUUAGUAUAAA